GACGAACGCUGGCGGCGUGCUUAACACAUGCAAGUCGAACGGAAAGGCCCUGCUUUUGUGGUGUGCUCGAGUGGCGAACGGGUGAGUAACACGUGAGUAACCUGCCCUUGACUUUGGGAUAACUUCAGGAAACUGGGGCUAAUACCGUAUAGGAUCUCCUGCUGCAGGGUGGGGGGUGGAAAGUUUCGGCGGUUGGGGAUGGACUCGCGGCUUAUCAGCUUGUUGGUGGGGUAGGGGCUUACCAAGGCUUUGACGGGUAGCCGGCCUGAGAGGGUGACCGGCCACAUUGGGACUGCGAUACGGCCCAGACUCCUACGGGAGGCAGCAGUGGGGAAUAUUGCACAAUGGGCGGAAGCCUAAUGCAGCAACGCCGCGUGCGGGAUGACGGCCUUCGGGUUGUAAACCGCUUUCGCCUGUGACGAAGCGUGAGUGACGGUAAUGGGUAAAGAAGCACCGGCUAACUACGUG
RNAcentral lists this ribosomal RNA (468 nucleotides) under uncultured bacterium. RNAcentral's name for it is "partial 16S ribosomal RNA". It matches the Rfam family "Bacterial small subunit ribosomal RNA", at positions 28 to 507 of the family's 1533-position model. The record is from RNAcentral.